GCUCCCUUUGGCAGCACACAUACUAAGAUUGGAAUGAUACAUAGGAGAUUAGCAGGGUGCCUGCAUAAGGCUCACAUGCAAAUUCAUGAAGCAUUCCAUAUUUUU
Echinops telfairi (small Madagascar hedgehog) is the source of this 105-nucleotide small nuclear RNA. NCBI's taxonomy places the organism in Eukaryota, Metazoa, Chordata, Mammalia, Afrosoricida, Tenrecidae. The record is from RefSeq and is a predicted model, not a curated record.